This 466-nucleotide ribosomal RNA is filed under the name uncultured bacterium. Its description in RNAcentral is "partial 16S ribosomal RNA". It matches the Rfam family "Bacterial small subunit ribosomal RNA", at positions 28 to 507 of the family's 1533-position model. The record is from RNAcentral.
GACGAACGCUGGCGGCGUGCUUAACACAUGCAAGUCGAACGGAAAGGCCCUGCUUGCAGGGUACUCGAGUGGCGAACGGGUGAGUAACACGUGGGUGAUCUGCCCUGCACUUCGGGAUAAGCCUGGGAAACUGGGUCUAAUACCGGAUAGGAGCCAUUUUUAGUGUGAUGGUUGGAAAGUUUUUUUCGGUGUAGGAUGAGCUCGCGGCCUAUCAGCUUGUUGGUGGGGUAAUGGCCUACCAAGGCGGCGACGGGUAGCCGGCCUGAGAGGGUGGACGGCCACAUUGGGACUGAGAUACGGCCCAGACUCCUACGGGAGGCAGCAGUGGGGAAUAUUGCACAAUGGGCGCAAGCCUGAUGCAGCGACGCCGCGUGGGGGAUGACGGCCUUCGGGUUGUAAACUCCCUUCGCUAGGGACGAAGCUUUUUGUGACGGUACCUAGAGAAGAAGCACCGGCUAACUACGUG